This 397-nucleotide transfer-messenger RNA is filed under the name Candidatus Saccharimonadota bacterium. It matches the Rfam family "transfer-messenger RNA". Rfam says of the family: Bacterial tmRNA, also known as 10Sa RNA or SsrA, is named for its dual tRNA and mRNA-like properties. Its role is to liberate the mRNA from a stalled ribosome. RNAcentral also lists the same sequence under 1 other name. The record is from RNAcentral. Lineage: Bacteria; Candidatus Saccharimonadota.
GGGGCUGAAUUAGCUUCGACAGAAGGACAUUAAAAGGUUAUUUAGCAAGUCGAAUUUACACGUUACGUAUUUAAUAUCUGCAAAUUAUAUUGCAAAAGCAAAAGCAGGUUUUGCUCAGUUAGCUAGCGCUUUCCGUGCACCUGUUCUUGCGCCAGCUCUAGUUUAAUUUUAGAGCCAUCAUGAAUCCUAAGGUAGCAUAGGGAGAGUGGUGUCAUAUUUAUGCUACUUAGUUUAUUAAAACUGGCUCACUAAGGUUUAAUGAAUGAAAUUAAAAAGUGGCGAUUUUGAGUAUUUUGUCAUUCUCAUAGCUUAAAAUCGUAUCAUCAGGCUGACUAUACUUGUAGAAGAAUAAUCAUUUACCUUUUGGACCGGGGUGCAAUACCCCGCAGCUCCACCA